UCGUUUUUAUUUUAUGAACACCGAAUUUAAUCAAAUCAGAAUUAAUUCCAGGAUUCAGUCUACGUACCAAUUUCUCACAGUUCAAUGACUUCUCCAUUUCGGCGUAAUAAAAUGUAGAUAGAACUUUAUCGUAAUCGUCUUUUUUAAUAGCAUUAUCUCUAUUUAUCAGUACUACGAUGUUCGAAUCGCUACUACGAUGAUCGAAACGUGAGAAUAUUCGUUGCACAGAAAAAUUUGCUGGAACAUUCCAGUUUUAUGGCUGAUAUGAGAGUUGAGAUACGGUGUGUAAAAGCAUCAACGAUCAAGAGAUUUCCGCGAAGGUAUUCCAACCUCUCUUUCACCGUCUGCCAGAUAACAAUCUGAUGAGCAAGUCUGAUGAGCAAGUCUGAUGAUUGGCGGAUAAAUUUUUGGCUGACAAGACAGAAGCAGGACAGGUUGCUGUACAAUAGUUUCAAAGAAGAGAUCCUCGACUAGUGUGACUGCAUAUAGCAGAUACGGUGAAAAAUUCAGUAAAAGGAGAUGGACGAUCAUUUUGAAGCGAAAGUUCAAACGUCAGCACAUCACGGUGGGGCUGAGGAAUUCGUGUAAGGAUAAGCAUUACUCGUGAGUGCAUAUAAGCAUAUACGAAAGAGUUCACGCGCGGUUGCAAAGAGGAGGAUCUGGUCGGUCCGCGUGAAUAUGUAGGAACUCCAGUUCUCGCGUUUACUUCGUUGGACGAGCGCGUCAUAUACUUGCCUAACCAUCAAGGGGCCACUUUCGAAAACCUGCCAUUACAGGCAAUUAGGCAUGCAUCAUAGACCGCCAGAGCUGGACGCCUUACACGGUUACAGGAGUUAUCGGCUGUCGUAACGUUACACGCUGCCGCUUCGUCGCCGAAGACAACAACGAAGACGACGAUUUGUGGUGCUGGACACGGGGCCUCCUUGAGUUCCUUGUCGAUGACAGUUUUAUAGGAAGUACCACGCGCUCGUGCGUCUUCUCCUCGGCUUCUCUUCGCCUUCCUCUCUUUUAUUCUCUUUUCGAGCGUCAGCGAACGUCCCAUUAGGACGUAUCGACGCUACGCGCUCAGCAUUUAAUGCCAUGCUCGAGCGCGACUCAAAGUGAAAGCUCGCGUGUGCUACCUUGCCUCGAUUCAUUUUCCUGCCUUUCUUGUUAUUCAGGAGUUUCUCGUGCCGCGGAAAGAAGCAGAGAAAUGUUCACUUAGCAAACGUAUACUCGGUUAAUCUCGGCGCUCUCUAUCUGCCUGCUCGAGUUUUUCUGGCAACUUUUUAAAAUGCGUACUUCGAUAGAAUCAAGUUUGCACACUAUUUUUUUACACAUGCGCACAUUAAGUAAUAUAUUUUAUUAACAGUUUAAUUCUAAACAUAUAUAACAAUACUAAACAUUUUCUAUUUAAAUUAUUAUAACAUUCCUGGUUUUCUUAGUUGUUAGGUCGAUUCAAAUAUCAGAAUUUCUAAAACUAAUAGUUAAACCGUUCAUCUGAGAAGAAGUAGCAGUAAAACUUUGAGAAGCAAUCAAUUUUAAUGAGACACCGAUAUAAUUUAAACGCAGUUACUUUCGAAAUAAAUCUGGUUAUUUAUUUAUACUUUUCCCUCGAACAGAAUAAUUGGAUCUAAUUGGUAUUUCUCGUAUAGAUUUGCUUUAUCUCCGCAUGAGUGCAAGUUCCGGUAGGCAAAGAGAUCGCUUUUUUUAAAAUAGUGAAUUAGUCCAAACUAUCUCCUGUGGCAUCAUUACACAACUUGUCAUUUUUUUAUGGAAAGGAAGCAGAUGACCUUGAGUGAAGCGCCGAGAGCUUCGCCACACUUUCACCCGUUCUCCAACUGUUUUCCAUCCGGUACCGAGCUGCAGUUCUAACUCCGCAUAGGUUCGAUGCAGAUCGAUAAGAUGUAUAGAUUUCUUUCCGGACAUCUUUCGAGACAGAAAGAGAAUUUACGAAUUUCUCAAUUUUAUCAUUAAUUAAUUGAUAUUUCCAAAACAUUGUGAGUCAAAAAGAACUUGUAGACAAACUGCUAUGAAAAUCGUACCACUUUCCUAUCUGUUAACGUUACUUUACUUCAAUGGCGAUACCAAAUUACGUAAUUUCAUUUUAAUAUUAUAUUGUAUAUUAUUAUUUCGGAGAAACAGCAAUUCCGUCAUUAUGAAACGGCAGGAGAGCCCCCCUCUCCCGGUAACGGUUUCUCUCUCUCCCUCUCUCUCGUAGAAUGCGGAUUUCGAGGCAAGUUUCGCUCUCUGUCCGAUAGGUGAUGCUGGAUAUGAAGCUCUAUCCUUACGAAGGCCGACGACCUCGCGUAUACAAGCGCAUACGUACGUACUCGACACGUAAAAGUACCUAUACACGCACACGUGAGGAGCGGAGAGAUUCUUCUUUCUCUUCUCUCUUCACACAUUCUCGACUUACACGGGCGUAGAUGCUAGAAAUCCUUGCUGUUGUUCCCCGUGGUACUCGCGCUCAGAACUGUUAACUUUUGAAACAGCAGAGGGUUUUAUUUAGUUGAUUCAAUUUUACUUAUUUUGCAAAGGUAUAUCAAUCCUUAGUGAGGACCUAUCUUGAAGUUUUCUUGAUCCGCGAUCAAUCGAUUGAUAAUUUUAAUUGUAAUUUUUGUUAACUUCCGAUAUAUCGCUAUAUUAAGAAAAGUUAAAGUUACUUUAAAGAGAUCGUUCCAUUAAUCAAGUUUCGAAAUAAUUUGCUGACUUUGUUGCACUACUCGCUAAAACUUGCAAAUGCAUUUGCAUGAAUCUUAAUAUAUGAUAUUAUAUACAAUCACUUAGCUCUCGGCAUUCUCCACAUCUCGCAGGCACUUCAAUAUUUACCUGACCAAGACGAGCUUUAAGUCGAAGGCAAACUGACCGACGUUCCGUUAAUGUGCUUAGACAUCGAGUGUCCGCUCAUGGAGUCUACAAGGAGACGCUUCACUCGCUAACUAAAGAGAUUACCAAGCCUUCCUCUUCUUUUCGAAAAUUUAUUAAAUAUUUGGCGAGCGUUCAGGAUCGAAAAAUAUGCUCGAGCGACUUAGCGAGCGCAGGAAUUGAUGUUGUACAAUAAUACUAAAAAAAUCGUAAAAUGUGGUGCUUUUCAGAAAUGCUUCUCUUUUUUAUAUCAUGCUUCUCUUAUUAAUAAAAAAGUUUUGUAUGCAUUUAUCCUUUUUGCUAGAUGGUUACUAUUUACAUUUGUAAAAAAAUGUAUAAUAAAAGAUUUAUUGAAAUGUA
Molecule: RNA transcript, 3207 nt
Organism: Vollenhovia emeryi
Lineage: Eukaryota; Metazoa; Arthropoda; Insecta; Hymenoptera; Formicidae
Exons: 2
Source: RefSeq, a predicted model, not a curated record